This is a non-coding RNA of Pelobates cultripes (western spadefoot toad), 1147 nucleotides long. The record is from the annotation of a GenBank genome assembly. NCBI's taxonomy places the organism in Eukaryota, Metazoa, Chordata, Amphibia, Anura, Pelobatidae.
CCUGUUGCAGCUUCAGUCACAUUGCCAGUAUGAUGUCUGGGUUAUUAAUGACCCUAAAUUUGCAGUCUGCAUUGAGAGAAACCGCAAAGUACAACUGUUAAUUUAUUGUAUGUGACGGGCCUGUGUUUAUUGCACUGACUUCAACUUCUAUUUAAACCCAGGUGAUCUGCUGCUUAACCAUUUGUUCACAUACAUUUUCUGGACGGAUGGGUUUUUAUUUUCUAGAUCAUGGUUUAGCCUUACUUUUGCAUCCUGGAUUUUGAUUCACUACAAUUCCAAAUUUAUUGUAGUGAAUCAAAAUCCAACACUCUCUAAAGAACUUUCGUCUCAGCAUUAUUUUGACAUUGGCCGCAGGAAUAUAAUAUAUUCCACAAAGUAUUCAAAUGCCAAAUAUCUGUUUAUUUCUGUACUGAUUAUCUUAAUAUUAUCUAUGUGCUUGUAUGGUUAUUGUAGCACUUACUCAAAAAACAAUAAAUCCAUGUACGCAGGGUUAUUCAAUAAAGCGCGCGUUCUUGGGAAUUCAAAGUGAAUCUCACAUUGUUAGCCUAAAAUAUUCAAACUGAAUACAGAGCUAAACGUUUGCAUUUUUCCAAUUUUGGGCACUUCGGCCUAAAGUUUUAAAUUCAUUUUUAAUUCCCCAAAAUGCAUACGUUAAUGAAUAACAUCCACAGUUUGCCAAUGCCUGGGUACAUGCAGUGCAUUGAGGGUUACCAGAUCCAUACAAAGGGUUCCUAUGCUAUAAUGCUUAUAUGGGGAACACAUGAAAAUAAUUGCCAUGUAACUCAUAGCAUUUAGGUGCUGCAGGAGGGAUAUCAAUUAAUUAAUCAAAAAUGUCUUUUCUGCAGUACAUGACCUCUAUUUCCUGAAUUGCAUCACUUUUCAUGUACAACCCAUCAGCACUAAGAAGUUAUAUGUUUAGAUACUGUUUUUGGUUUGCUUUGUGAUUUUCCUUCUUUUCACUAGUAUGGCUCACUUGAAAUUCUUGUCUAAACAAAAUUGGUGAUUCGAUUCUCUUUAAAUGUCCAACUCAUUUUUUAUUAGGCUGUGUAUCACGGAUUUGUUUUUAAUAUAAUACAUAUUCUCAUAGCUAAGGGUUAUUUGUGUUAUCCAUCACGCAAGCUAUAAGAAUGUCUUUACAUGUUAUCAG